UAGUGUUGACCUAGUAUUUAUCGGUCUCGUCAUUUAAGAGUGUAUCGAGUCCGGCUUGUCUGGUCUUACUUUGGUUUUAUCGGACAAUCGAUAGUGGCGAUAAUUUUAAGCGUGUGUAUAUCGGUUGGUAUUUUUAAUUAGUGUUGUCCUAGUAUUAAUCAGUCUUGUAGUGGUGCGGUCUCAUUCAUUCAUGCGUUUUAACGGCGUCAGUUGUACGGUCUCUCUUCGCUUAGCUUGGUGUAAAAACGUGUUCCGCUUGCAAAUUUUUACCUUCUUGCUGGCUGUUGCUGGAUACUGGGCUGGACCGCCAUCGAAAUCUCGUCGUCAUUUCGCUGUGGUGUCUGUCAUCAGGCAGUUUUGUGUUCAUACGGCGAUCAGUGGGUCUAGGCAAGGCGUAAUUUGGAGAAAGGCAGCA
RNAcentral lists this small RNA (415 nucleotides) under Drosophila yakuba. Its description in RNAcentral is "GE28736". The record is from RNAcentral. Lineage: Eukaryota; Metazoa; Arthropoda; Insecta; Diptera; Drosophilidae.